GACGAACGCUGGCGGCGUGCUUAACACAUGCAAGUCGAACGGAAAGGCCCUGCUUUUGUGGGGUGCUCGAGUGGCGAACGGGUGAGUAACACGUGAGUAGCCUGCCCUUGACUUUGGGAUAACUUCAGGAAACUGGGGCUAAUACCGGAUAGGAGCUCCUGCUGCAUGGUGGGGGUUGGAAAGUUUCGGCGGUUGGGGAUGGACUCGCGGCUUAUCAGCUUGUUGGUGGGGUAGUGGCUUACCAAGGCUUUGACGGGUAGCCGGCCUGAGAGGGUGACCGGCCACAUUGGGACUGAGAUACGGCCCAGACUCCUACGGGAGGCAGCAGUGGGGAAUAUUGCACAAUGGGCGGAAGCCUGAUGCAGCAACGCCGCGUGCGGGAUGACGGCCUUCGGGUUGUAAACCGCUUUCGCCUGUGACGAAGCGUGAGUGACGGUAAUGGGUAAAGAAGCACCGGCUAACUACGUGCCAGCAGCCGCGGUGAUACGUAGGGUGCGAGCGUUGUCCGGAUUUAUUGGGCGUAAAGGGCUCGUAGGUGGUUGAUCGCGUCGGAAGUGUAAUCUUGGGGCUUAACCCUGAGCGUGCUUUCGAUACGGGUUGACUUGAGGAAGGUAGGGGAGAAUGGAAUUCCUGGUGGAGCGGUGGAAUGCGCAGAUAUCAGGAGGAACACCAGUGGCGAAGGCGGUUCUCUGGGCCUUUCCUGACGCUGAGGAGCGAAAGCGUGGGGAGCGAACAGGCUUAGAUACCCUGGUAGUCCACGCUGUAAACGGUGGGUACUAGGUGUGGGGUCCAUUCCACGGGUUCCGUGCCGUAGCUAACGCUUUAAGUACCCCGCCUGGGGAGUACGGCCGCAAGGCUAAAACUCAAAGGAAUUGACGGGGCCCCGCACAAGCGGCGGAGCAUGCGGAUUAAUUCGAUGCAACGCGUAGAACCUUACCUGGGUUUGACAUGGAUCGGGAGUGCUCAGAGAUGGGUGUGCCUCUUUUGGGGUCGGUUCACAGGUGGUGCAUGGCUGUCGUCAGCUCAUGUCGUGAGAUGUUGGGUUAAGUCCCGCAACGAGCGCAACCCUUGUUCACUGUUGCCAGCACGUUAUGGUGGGGACUCAGUGGAGACCGCCGGGGUCAACUCGGAGGAAGGUGGGGAUGACGUCAAGUCAUCAUGCCCCUUAUGUCCAGGGCUUCACGCAUGCUACAAUGGCUGGUACAGAGAGUGGCGAGCCUGUGAGGGUGAGCGAAUCUCGGAAAGCCGGUCUCAGUUCGGAUUGGGGUCUGCAACUCGACCUCAUGAAGUCGGAGUCGCUAGUAAUCGCAGAUCAGCAACGCUGCGGUGAAUACGUUCCCGGG
RNAcentral lists this ribosomal RNA (1343 nucleotides) under uncultured bacterium. Its description in RNAcentral is "16S ribosomal RNA". It matches the Rfam family "Bacterial small subunit ribosomal RNA", at positions 28 to 1378 of the family's 1533-position model. The record is from RNAcentral.